GUUCCUACGGGAGGCAGCAGUGGGGAAUAUUGGGCAAUGGGCGCAAGCCUGAUGCAGCAACGCCGCGUGGGUGAAGGAGCGUUUCGGCGCGUAAAGCCCUGUCAGCGGGGAAGAAGAAAGACGGUACCCAACCAAGAAGCCCCGGCUAACUACGUGCCAGCAGCCGCGGUAAUACGUAGGGGGCGAGCGUUAUCCGGAAUUACUGGGUGUAAAGGGAGCGUAGACGGCGAGGUAAGCCUGAAGUGGAAGCCCGCGGCCCAACCGCGGAACUGCUUUGGGAACUGUUUUGCUGGAGUAUGGGAGGG
RNAcentral lists this ribosomal RNA (305 nucleotides) under uncultured bacterium. RNAcentral describes it as "bacterial SSU rRNA". It matches the Rfam family "Bacterial small subunit ribosomal RNA", at positions 335 to 656 of the family's 1533-position model. The record is from RNAcentral.